GACGAACGCUGGCGGCGUGCUUAACACAUGCAAGUCGAACGAUGAAGCCUUCGGGUGGAUUAGUGGCGAACGGGUGAGUAACACGUGGGCAAUCUGCCCUGUACUUUGGGAUAAGCCUUGGAAAACGGGUCGUAAUACCGGAUAUCACUUCUGACCGCAUGGUUGGUUGUUGAAAGUUCUGGCGGUACAGGAUGAGCCCGCGGCCUAUCAGCUUGUUGGUGGGGUAAUGGCCUACCAAGCGACGACGGGUAGCCGGCCUGAGAGGGUGACCGGCCACACUGGGACUGAGACACGGCCCAGACUCCUACGGGAGGCAGCAGUGGGGAAUAUUGCACAAUGGGCGAAAGCCUGAUGCAGC
Molecule: ribosomal RNA, 358 nt
Filed under: uncultured bacterium
Lineage: Bacteria
Description: bacterial SSU rRNA
Rfam family: Bacterial small subunit ribosomal RNA
Source: RNAcentral